ACCAGGCCUUGACAUGCAGAGAACUUCCAGAGAUGGAUUGGUGGCCUUCGGGAACUCUGACACAGGUGCUGCAUGGCUGUCGUCAGCUCGGGUCGUGAGAUGUGGGUUAAGUCCCGUAACGAGCGCAACCCUUGUCCUUAGUUACCAGCACGUUAUGGUGGGCACUCUAAGGAGACUGCCGGUGACAAACCGGAGGAAGGUGGGGAUGACGUCAAGUCAUCAUGGCCCUUACGGCCUGGGCUACACACGUGCUACAAUGGUCGGUACAAAGGGUUGCCAAGCCGCGAGGUGGAGCUAAAUCCCAUAAAACCGAUCGUAGUCCGGAUCGCAGUCUGCAACUCGACUGCGUGAAGUCGGAAUCGCUAGUAAUCGUGAAUCAGAAUGUCACGGUGAAUACGUUCCCGGGCCUU
This 410-nucleotide ribosomal RNA is filed under the name uncultured Pseudomonas sp. RNAcentral describes it as "bacterial SSU rRNA". It matches the Rfam family "Bacterial small subunit ribosomal RNA", at positions 973 to 1382 of the family's 1533-position model. Lineage: Bacteria; Pseudomonadati; Pseudomonadota; Gammaproteobacteria; Pseudomonadales; Pseudomonadaceae. The record is from RNAcentral.